This 239-nucleotide ribosomal RNA is filed under the name uncultured Lactobacillus sp. Its description in RNAcentral is "partial 16S ribosomal RNA". It matches the Rfam family "Bacterial small subunit ribosomal RNA", at positions 122 to 355 of the family's 1533-position model. The record is from RNAcentral. Lineage: Bacteria; Bacillati; Bacillota; Bacilli; Lactobacillales; Lactobacillaceae.
UAACCUGCCCAAGANAUCGGGAUAACACCUGGAAACAGAUGCUAAUACCGGAUAACAACAGAUGAUGCCUAUCAACUGUUUAAAAGAUGGUUCUGCUAUCACUCUUGGAUGGACCUGCGGUGCAUUAGCUAGUUGGUAGGGUAACGGCCUACCAAGGCGAUGAUGCAUAGCCGAGUUGAGAGACUGAUCGGCCACAUUGGGACUGAGACACGGCCCAAACUCCUACGGGAGGCAGCAGC